This is a long non-coding RNA of Echinops telfairi (small Madagascar hedgehog), 288 nucleotides long. RefSeq lists it as uncharacterized. Lineage: Eukaryota; Metazoa; Chordata; Mammalia; Afrosoricida; Tenrecidae. The transcript has 3 exons. The record is from RefSeq and is a predicted model, not a curated record.
GAGAGGGGAGGACGCUGGGACUGCCCUGGUCACAGUCCUGGUGCUGCUGGGAUUCUGUCUAGGAACCUCAGUGGCAUAUUCAUACAUCCCAGAAGAAAAAUCAACACUCUUCUUUGAGGUAGAAUCACUGGACCACCCCUGGGACAAUGUGACUCUGAUAUGCAGAUCUCCAAAUGAGGCUCAAGCUUUCCAGCUGCUGAAGGACGGGGUGGCCCAAGCCCCAGUCUAUCUUCGAGCCCGUGAGCACCGGUUUCCCCUGGGGAAGGUGACAGAGGACACGAGAGGCAU